CAGGGGAUUUCCAAGGUUGUUGCCAAAACAAGGAAAGGGCAUGGAGCCCUCUGUGGGAGUUGGGGGUGCAAGAAGGGGACUAUCAACAGAGAAAUGGCAUAUACCACUUCCCCCCCUCCCCCUUCCACUGACCAAAACUUUGUCACUUAACUAUACGCAAAUGCCAGGACGCAGGGAAAUGUAAUCUAGCUGUGGGCCAGAAGGAAAAGGAAACAGGUGUGGUGAACAGCUAGCCAGGCUCUGUCAAACCCAUAAAGGGAAAGGGACAGAUACCAGGCUUGCAACUUGACUUCCCCUCAUUUUUUUAUUUUUGAAUCUUUGUUCUGGGAUUAAGAGAUUUGGGUGGAUGGUUUGGAAAUGUAUCUUGCUUUUAGUGAGGGUCCUUGAGGUGUUUGAAACCAGAAGACUAAAAGGAGUUGAUGCUAACUGUUCUUGAAUGGUUGUGAGAAAUAUAAGCAGAGUUCAGGUCUAAUUGGGAAAGAACUCCGUAUUUUAGGAAAGUGACUCAUUCAUGGGCAGAGAGAGACUAGAUCUCUCUUGUAAAGAAUGGAACAAAUAAUACCAUUCUUUGCACAUAGAAAUAAUUUUCUUUAAAAAAGGCUUUUUUUUAACAUUAGACAUCGGGCUUGGAUUUUAGUUUUAUAUUACCUAUAUUCUCAAUGCUUACAUCACUGUAUUUGAUAAAAAGUGUUCUUCUGUUGUGGGAUAUAUUCUUAUUUAGUUUUUCCAUCUAGACCAGGAAGCAAGCCUGUCCCUCCCCAAUACGCCAUUAGCACACAGACUUCUCCACAUUCUGUCCUCAAAACUUACUCCUGGAAGGUCUUUGUUUCAGAUCGUGAGUGGGAAACGGGUCUGAACCCUGCAAGCCCUCAAUCGGUGAAUGCUCCCUGCUGGUCCUCUCAUCACCCAGAGUUCUCCUAUGACCGUCUCCAGGCUGCCUGACACCCAAACAUCUUUCUCACUUCCCACCUCUACAGAAUUGUGUAGCAUCUGGGUUGAAAUUAAGAAUGUUGUCCAUUCACUUAGUAUAAACUCAGAGAGGGGCAGAAAGCAGGGUAUCCUGACUAAAUAGUUCUGAAUUUCUAUCUUAAGAACUUCGGCUAUUACUCAGGUACAUAAAUGUGAUUAUAUUGGUCAGGGUUUUCCAUAGAAACAGGUGUGUGUGUGUGUGUGUGUGUGUGUGUGUGUGUGGGGUGUGUGUGUGCGUGUGUCCUAUUGUGUAUAUAUAUAUUAAAAGAUUUAUUUUAAGGAAUUGACUCAUGCAAUAGUGAAGGCUGGCAAAUCUGUAGGGCAGACCAGCAGCCUAGAAAUUCAGGAGUUGAUGUUGCAAUCUUGAGCCAGAAUUUCUUUUUCAGAAAACCUGUUUUUGUUCUUAAGGCCUUCAACUGAUUUGAUUAGGCCUACUCGUGUUGUUGAGAGUAAUCGCCUCAAGGUCAACUGAGUGUAGGUGUUAACUAUACCUACAAAAUACCUUCAUAGUAACACCUAGAUUCGUGUUCCAUUAAAUCACCACAUACUAAAGCCUGGCAAACAGAGAAAACUAAUCAACACAGUAAUUAAAGUAAUGAAAAUGUGAUUGUGUUGUUUACCUCCUUGGAGUUAUUUCCUUUUCAUGUCGGAAACCUUUAUGAAAAAAAAAAAAGACAACACUUUCAUAAGUGCUAAUGUCAAAUUUGUUGGUCCAUCAGGAUGCUUUUUCUUAAAGAGUCUGUAGUUCGGUCUAAGCAGAAUAUCAACCGCACUAAAGGUUUUUGACUUACGCUUGGAUCUUAGUUGUCUCCUCCUUCUCCAUAGUUCAGUGAUUUCUCAAGCUUUGAUAAAAAAUGAAAAGUGAACUCUAACUUCUAAGACUGUCUCCCCUACACCCAUGAAAUUCCAGUUCUGAUAGUAUAUGUCACUCUUCCUUUUUAUCAGUGCCUUCAGGUAUUUGCAGCUUCAAAAGACAUUCUCUUAAAAAAUCAAAUCUGAAAAUAUUCAAAGGACUGGCCUUCAGCUCUGCAAACUUUUCACAAUAAUGUACAUGAAUGUAGUUUGUUAAAAUCUGCUUCUUUUCAUAGCCGGUGUCUUGUGAGCAAUUUCUGGGAAAUGUUGGUUAUAAGAUAAGCUCUUUUCAGUCGGUUUCAAAAGGUGACCCCCAGGUAGGUAAUCGUCAAGUAGAGGCAUCUAUUCAGAGAAAUGAGGGGGUGAGCAAACUCCUCUGGGCCCACCAUUGUGAACCUACCCAUUCAGCACUUGAAAAACAGCACUGAGUACCCAGCAGGCAAGCUCACUGAAGAGCCUCCUGCCCCCACACGCAGGUGCAUUGAGUGUGAUAGGGGAGAGCUUCGGCAUUUUGUAUUUUAACUUUUCGACACAAAUUCUAAAGCUGGGGAAAAGGGCAAGAAAACAGCCAGGCUUCAACAGAUCCGUCCUUGAGUCACUCUGUUAAGUGGAACUGGGUAAUUGUCUCAUUGGAGAUCUGCAUAAACAGCUUGUGGGAAAGAAUGAUUUGUACCUGACAUAUAUUCACUAGCUUGUGCAUCAAAAGGCCAUACGUGGAUAAAAACCAUGAUCUUGGCAUUCUUUGCACUCUGCAGCCUUUAGACUUGAAGGGCAGAAGCCCACGUGCACAGGUUACCAACCUGUCUUCUCCCAGCCCCGCCUGCCUGGCAAGCCUAGGCGGCGGGUGGAGGUGGUGGGAGGGGGCAGCUGGAACUCCCCAGGAUUUGAGUCAAAAGAGAGUGGAGAAGGAGGAUGCCUUGUGCAAAUAGGCACUCCAUUAAAGGUCUAUUUUGGGUUUCUUGGGACCUUCCUAUUGGUCUAGCUUAAAUUGAAAGGGGAUUUGGUUUGCCUCACUGGUUGUUUCCUCCCACUCAUAUCACAAUUACAGCCUUGUUCAUUGUCAUUAAAAUACAUUUAGUAUGCACCAUUUUUGCAUGGCCCACUGCUAAAAUCCACACACACAAAAACUAUCCCUAGCCCCGAAAUAGUGGAAAGAGCACUGGACACCAAAAGAGAAGGCCUGGGUUUCAAUCCUGGGUCCACCUGGGAAUGUUCAAUAAAAACCUUAGUUGCAAGGAACAAACCCUCACUAGAAUCACCUCACAGUGAUUGCGCGGAACAGGGUGUUGACUGUAAAGAUACACACGCACCUUGAAGUGGAAAUGUGAAGCCAUCAGGAACCAGGGAGCUAGGCUGGGCGUCAGUUGUGCUUUCUUUCCUGCUGUGUCUGAUUCCUUCUGUGGGCUCCUCCUAACUCCAGCCUACUUCCCCCCAAAAGCUCUCGUUUGGGAUCCCACUACUAACUUCUUUUCCUUGUUUCUUAAUUCAAACUCUCAAGCUAUAAUAUGAUUGUCCCAGCUCAUUUUUUAAAGACAAACCUUAUAUGGGCUCCGUAAGGAUUGGCUGAUUGUGGAACAAAGUUAAUCAACUGCCUGUUCCAGAUAAGCCUUCAUCAGCCUACUUCCUUCUCUCAGAGAAGUGUGGCAGGCCAGGCAUUCUGAGGCUUGGCUUGUCCAAAACACUUGGGCAGGUUAUUAACUUCUCCUAGACCUCAUUUCUUUAAUUGUAUUAUGAUGGUGGCACCGGCCCCAACCCACAGAGUUAUUACUUAUGCAUUCAAAAAUCAUUUAUUGAGUUUCUACACAAAGCACUUCUGUUGAGUGCUUUUCAGGCACUGCUCAGCAAUGGGAAGACAGAUGUGAACAAAACCGAUGCAUAUCUGCCUUCAUGAAGUUGGCCGUCCAGGAUCAAACGAGAUUGUUUCUGUGGAAACAUAGCCCCCACCCUCCUACCUGCAGCCCCACAGUAGACCCCAAUGUUAAGAUUCCUUCAUUCUUUUAUUCAUCAAGGGUUUCUUGAGCAUCUACUAUAAAUCACUAGAGAACCAAAGAUAGAGAAGACAUGGUUUCUGAUCUCAAGUGGCUCAUGAUCUAUUUUAGAAAUAACUAUGCAAAGCAAAUAGUGAUGGUACAAAAGCACAAGUUAGCAGGUAGAAUAUGAGAUACAGAAAAGGGAACAACAGUUUGUCCGUACAAGUCAAAGGAGGCUUCCCAGAGGCAGCAACACCUGAGCCGAGACUUAAAGGAUGAGGAGGAGUUUCUCAUAUGUUCAGGCAGUGGAAGGGUAGGGUGAGGACGAGCUAUGGACGUUCUAAGCAAAGAAGAUAACGUGCAAAGCAUAGAAGUUGUACAGAUUAUGGGGAGUUUCACGAUACAGAAACACUCUAGGAUUUUUGGAACAUAUAGCUUAAGGAAUAUAGCAAAAAAAAAAAAAAUGAAGCUACAAAAGUACUAGAGGCCAAAUUAUCACAUAGAACCAUGAAUGUAUUUUAAAUUUUAUCCCAGGCCCCAUGGGGAAUCAUUAAAAAUUUGGAGUAGUGCAUUAAUCUCAGUAAUUGAUCUGAAUAGUCUCUGAUUUAUUUUUUACAAUGAGCAUCCUUUGGGACAGAGCAAGGCUGGACUAGAGGAGGGUCAGACCAGAGGCAGAGGGGAAGUAAAGAGACAGUUGUAACAAUCUCAAGGAGAGAUGAUGAGGACCUGAACUGAUGAGGCAACAGUAAGUAGGAAAGGAGGUGAGCAUCUCCAAAGAGCUUUAGAAGGUAGAAAUGACAGAACUUGGUGAUUGUUUUGGAAGUAGGGAAGAAAAAGAUGAGAAGAUGCCUUCCAUGUUUCUAGCCUGAAAGACUACGGAGGAGAGGGACACUGGCCCCCAGAGAGGGAGUUCAGGAAGGAAGCAGGCAAGGAGGCGCUAGUUAACUCCUAUGUGGACAAGUGGAAUUGGAAGCAUUUCGGCAUGUGUGCAGAGAUGUUGAGUGGCUCUGCAGCUGGGGUUGCAGGCCUCUUGCUCAAAACAGGAAGCUGGGAUGAAGGUCUAUGUGUGGAGGCAUCAAAAUGUGGAUGCACCUGAGACUAGAAGGUCAAGAGAAGGUGCAGUGUGAGAGUGAAAGGAUCUAUGGCAGGGAGUGUGGAUGGACACCUCUUUGCAGGACAGAGACCAGUAAAAGGAGACUCUGUCUUUGGAAGAAAAACCCACCAUCCCUAAAACUAGCUGUUCACUCCCAUCCUGUCUCUUAGGAGUAUGCUCUGGAUGGAGACAGAAUAAAUUAUUAUUCCCUGAGAAAUAUUAGUGGUGUUUGCCUUAAGUAAGAAUUUAUGUGGCCCAGGAUAAGGAUAAGCUAUAGUUUCAGCUGAGGGGCAGCUUCGGGGAAGAUGUUCUCUGACAGGUUUAGCAAUGGGCUGUCUUUUUCAUGCUCCAUGAGGCUCUGGCCCAAUCCAGGACCCACUGCUCUACAUCCCCACUGUGGAUACAAGAAACUGAACUGGAAAACAUUGGUUCUAGAGAAGAAUCGAAGAUGGGGAAAACAACUACCUCUGGGUUAGCUGAAAGGAAAAACGUUAACGAAGCAGAAACUGAAGACUGAAGGAAGCAAGAGAGACUCAAACUGAAACAUUGGUUCUUCCUGGAGCUCAAGCCUGCCAACCUUUGAACGAGAACAUGCCAUCAGCUCUCCUGGUUCUCUGGCCUUCAGGAUACAAAAGGACAUACAGAUGUCAUUGCAGUAUUUUUUUUUUUCAACAUUUCUACAUGCUUGAAAAAUUCAGAAUAAAAAUUGGGAAAAUGUGAAGUCAAGAAGUGUCAGGAGACUCUUCAAAGAAGGUGCCUAUGAAGAGUCACAAAACUUUCUCUCUCCCUUAUUCUCGACCUCUCUCCUUUCUCUUUUUCCCUCAGUAAAUUUACUUUAUUUAACAUGAGAUUUUAUAACUCACAGUGGAUACUGUAGUUAAACAUAAAUAAUAAUUCUACCCCUCUUUUGUGCAGAUUUAUGCUCUGUAAACAUUACACUGAGAAAAUAUGGCCUUAACCUUUGUUCUGCAAAUGUUUCAGAAUUUUUUCUACUGCCACAUUAUAAGAUAAAUGUCAGUCUAAAUGAAGGCUUUUCUAUAAAACUCAGCAACUUCACAGAUGGCCUUUAAUUCAUGGCCAUAAAAGAUAAAACUAUAUUUUUUUGGUUGAAAAUAAUUUCAAAAGCUCUUCUUAAGUCCCCAGAAGAACAUAAUGCUACCUACUCUUGAUGCUGCAUGAGGUCAGUUAAAUAAACUCAGACACUGUUCUCCAGAAGUUAUCAACCAAACUGAGAAAAUUACAUAAAAAUUACCUGGAAUGAAUAUAACUGCUUUUUUCAGAAACCUCAAUAAUGACAGAUGGCCAAAUAACUGCUUUGCCCCAGGAUGCUUUCUCUGAUGUGACUCGAUGAAUUAUCCUAUACAGAAAGUGCACAAGGUUAGCCAGAGGCAAAUGACAGAGAUAUGUCUCAAAUUCAUUUUCUGAAAAACAUACCUUGAGAAAACCUAUAACCACUGAGAUAUUUUUAAGGAGGUCUGUUACAUAGUACAGCAGAGGUUCUCCACUCUGGCUGCACACAGGAAUCACCUGGAGAGCUUAAAAAAGUACUGGGGCCAAAGUUCCCAUCCCCUCAUCCCAGAGAAUCCAAUUUUGGUCUGGAGAGCAGCCUGAGCAUCAGGAUUUUUUAAGUUUCCCUAGUUAUUCUAAUUAGUAACAUUAGAAUAGUGAAUAAAUGAACUUUUUACAUAUUCUUAGUUUACAUUCAGAAACUAAUUUGAAUCAACUUUAAAGUAUUAAACAAUGGUGCUCUAUGACCUAGGCUGCUCGUGCUAUACCAAAAUACACAGACUCAGAGGGAAAAACAGAAGGUCUAAGAUGGAGAAAGGAUUCACAACGCUGUCAGAUCAGAAAUAGCUAUAGCAACAGGUAAUACUGGGGCUGAAAAGAAAGACCUGGUAAUACUUAAGAGCUGCCUUCAUAUAACUCAAGGGUACACUCGAGGGCAGAGAUAGGGUCAAGGAUGAUAGCUAAAGGAAGCUAGAUUUUGGCAUAAUAUAAGACUUUCUUUAAAAGCAGUGUUGUGUGGGAUUAGAUUGGUUGCUUUGAAAUUGUGAAUACCUGGUCACUGCUGAAAUUCAGACAUUGGCUUGUUGACUUCUAGGCCAGGUUGCUUCAGAGGAAACCAAAGAAAAUAAAUGCUAUAUUAACCAUU
Molecule: long non-coding RNA, 7036 nt
Organism: Pteropus alecto (black flying fox)
Lineage: Eukaryota; Metazoa; Chordata; Mammalia; Chiroptera; Pteropodidae
Exons: 2
Source: RefSeq, a predicted model, not a curated record